This 465-nucleotide ribosomal RNA is filed under the name uncultured bacterium. RNAcentral's name for it is "partial 16S ribosomal RNA". It matches the Rfam family "Bacterial small subunit ribosomal RNA", at positions 338 to 795 of the family's 1533-position model. The record is from RNAcentral.
CCUACGGGUGGCAGCAGUGGGGAAUAUUGCGCAAUGGGCGAAAGCCUGACGCAGCGACGCCGCGUGAAGGAUGAAGGUCUUCGGAUCGUAAACCUCUUUCAGUAGGGAAGAAAGGUCACUGUGCUAUUCAGCAGUGAAUUGACGGUACCUGCAAAGGAAGCACCGGCUAACUCCGUGCCAGCAGCCGCGGUAAUACGGAGGGUGCGAGCGUUAAUCGGAAUUACUGGGCGUAAAGCGCUCGUAGGCGGUAUGUCAAGUCAAGGGUGAAAGCCCCGGGCUCAACGGGGGAACUGCAUUUGAAACUGGCAAACUGGAGUGUGUUAGAGGAUAGUGGAAUUCCAGGUGUAGGAGUGAAAUCCGUAGAUAUCUGGAGGAACAUCAGUGGCGAAGGCGACUAUCUGGCACAUAACUGACGCUGAGGAGCGAAAGCGUGGGUAGCAAACAGGAUUAGAUACCCCAGUAGUC